GGAAUAUUAUCAGAGCCAUCAGAGAGGGCGUACUAUGCAGAGUUAUUCAGCUACAUCAAACACGCAAGAUGAAGAGGCCCCUUCGUUCAAGGCCACAAAAUAGUAGAAGCUCUAAUCUAAAGAGGAAGACGAAGCAAGCGACGACGAGAGUCGGCGAAGGCCAACGGAAAAGUAGUCCCUCCUCCGACGAUCCCCCCAACCGCAAGUACUGGUGAUAUGUUUUCUCCAAGGACAUAGCUUGGGAGAAUUUAGGAGCUGGAGGCUCUACUUUGUUAUUAUGUGUUUAAAUGUUUAUUCUAGCCAAGGGCUUUUUAUGUAUUGAGCUUAUGACUCUCUCUUUUGUUGUAACCAAGUAAUAUCUUGGAAAGAUGUAAGCCCGAAGGGCAUUUGUUUAUGUUGAACCCUCUUGUAUUAUCAACUUCGCAUAAUGAAAUGAUUACUCACACUCUGAUUCAUGUAA
Camellia sinensis is the source of this 460-nucleotide long non-coding RNA. RefSeq lists it as uncharacterized. Lineage: Eukaryota; Viridiplantae; Streptophyta; Magnoliopsida; Ericales; Theaceae. The record is from RefSeq and is a predicted model, not a curated record.